Prionailurus viverrinus (fishing cat) is the source of this 1058-nucleotide long non-coding RNA. RefSeq lists it as uncharacterized. Lineage: Eukaryota; Metazoa; Chordata; Mammalia; Carnivora; Felidae. The record is from RefSeq and is a predicted model, not a curated record. The transcript has 5 exons.
UGCCAGGAACUAUAUCAACUAUGGCAGCAUCAACAGAUUUCAAGAAUUCAGAGUCCGCUUUCAGUUUCCUCCCAGAAGACCAAUCAAUCUUCUCCUUUGGCUCAGCAAACUUGUAAGCAAUGUGAACUGUGUAACAAUUCAGCACAGGUGUACAGCCAGCACUAAUUUGGCCUGGAUGACUAAAGAUAAUAAUCUGCAUUGCAAAGCCAGCUGCUUGCACUGUUCCAUUAAUCCAGAACGAAUGGGUUUCUCCCUGCAACCUGUCAAUCAAACAGAGGUGGCCAAUCACCACUCUGAAUUUUUUUUGCUCUCAGUGCUUCUUCAGACUAUGUUCCAGUUGAAAACUUCUUUAGCAGUGUUCUGAAAGAGGUAAAAGUUCUACCCUAUCUAAAGCACAUCUAGGGACUGAAUUUCAGAAAACAACUAAAAUAGGGAGUCGACUCCCUAACAAAUAACAACUAAGGAUGAUUUUCAACAAAUGCGAUUGGAUUUCUGGAUUAGCAGAAUCGGAACACACACACAUUAUCAGGUAUCCCUAAUACCUAGGAAGUAGAUGUUUUAAAAAGUGACGAUAAACAGCAGUAUUUGAAGAAAACUUCAUACAGUGGUCAGAGACAAGUGGAAAACACUGCACAUACUUACAGUAUGGAACUCCAAUUCUGAUAUUUUCUCUGGCUGACCUGAUCCAAAAAAAUAAACCCGAAUAAUAUGAUCCGUGCUUCCUGUGGCCAGAAACAUGCCACCUGAGGAGUAGGAGCAAACAUUUACUAUGGAGAUAAUGGCAGCAAAGACCUCUCCUUCCAACAUGAAACUGGAUCUCUUACACUGUAGGUAAUUCCUAACAACAACAAAAUUCUAUUUUGUGAAUCCCUCUUGGAAAUUUCGAAGUUUCAUGAAAAUAAAAAGUUUGAGAGGUAAAGUUCAGAUAAAUAAAAAUAUCGACAUUCUCCAUUAAUGAAGCCUAGGCAAUGUUAGGUACGCAUCUGACUUUGGUAUUCUGGUACUCCACAGGUCUCUGUGACAUGGCUUUCCACUUUGUCAUGAACUUGGGUAUUAAA